UUGAAAUUUUAUUCUAAUUUUUAUAAUAUGCGGUGACAACCAUAUUCAAGCCAUUAAAGUCAAUAAAAUAGGAUAAAAUAUUUUCAUAAGUAUUGUAAUACUUCACUUGGGCACUUUAAACUGCGAUUUAAUAAGUCUCAAAUUAGCCGACGGCAAAUGAACUGUUGCCUACAAUUGCGCGCGUUUUGAGAAUUGCAAUUGAUGUCGGAUGAAAUGCGGAUGGAUAUAUUCGGAUAAUCGGAAAAUGUGAGCCUCGUUUGGCUGGUUGCAUGCGAACGUGAACGUGUUGCAAACUCAACUGAAUUCAAAAGUUGCUGGCAGUAAAAUUUUUACAAUAUCUGCAGCAGCAGCAGCAACGACAGCAGCAACAAUCAAGCGUCGACGUCGCAGCAGCGCAGCUUUGUCUCUGCCUCUGUGAAUGGUUGUGUGUUGAAUUGGUGCUGUGAUUUUUCUCUUGCUCUUGUGGGAUGCGGUUCUCUUCAUGUGUCUGCUUUUUUCCGGGAUUUACACAGCGUCGACAGAGGCAGCGACUGUGACGGCGACAGCGACUGCGACAGCAGCAGCAACACCGACAGCAACAGCAACAGCAGCAGUUGCUGCUGCGUAACAUCAUCAUCAUUCAGAUUGUCAGGAGCAACCACCAGCAGUUACAUAAAAACGCAAGCACCCUGCCAACAAACCGCCCACCUAUCGCAGCAACCACUCCCCCCACCGUCCAUCCCCGUUUGCCCCUUUUGCCUCCUUGUGGCACGUUGUGCUCAUUUGUGCCGCAUUCGACGCGAGUGUAUGAAAAGUUAUUGAAAUUAUUAAAUAAAUGGAUAAUUGGCUGGUUGCUGGGCGAGUGAGUGGAUGGAUGGUUGGGUGGGUGGAAGGAUGGUUUGCUGGAUACGUCGAGAGGGCGGUGCCAGGAUAACGCAGGCAAAAACAAUAUGGCGCAGCGUUAUUUAUAGUACUUUGUGGGGGCAAAAAAAAAACAACGGAAGGGCAACUAAUUAAUUAAGCAAUAUUCUAUGGCAAGAAAAUUACUGAAACAUUUAUGACUGCGAUACUAAAGAUGAUGGAUGAACGUAUUAUCUUUUAUAAUAUAUCAAAUUUAUGAGUGAAUCACUAAAUGUAAAAAACUAUAGUCUCAGAAUACUAUAUAUUUUAUUUAUAAGCUCCUCACACUGUUGCUAUGCAACUCUUUCUUAAAGCCAAAGUCGCCUUAAAUUUACCACUUGAUAAACUACUCGAAAUACCAACGAUCAUUAUCACGAGAGAAACCCCAAUUAGCGCCCAUCAAAGUGAAUCAAUGCACAACAAAAGGAAAAAGGAAAAAGCAAAAAGGAAAACGGCACGAACAAGAAAAAUGGAAAUGAAAUACCAAGUGCUUGGUGAGACGUGGCUGAGUCGAGACCAUGCGAUGAACUUUAAAUCCGCCACGAGAUACAACAUUUUAAAUCAAAGUCAGGCAUUUUACCGAAACGAAGAAAUGCGUUCGUAUUCCGUCUUUCUCGGCUCUCUCUCUCUCUCUCUCUCUCUUGAGUCUGAAACUGGAGAACUGAGAAGCUGAGAAUGAGAAUAAGGAUGAGGCGACACGUUUGUCGUUUCAAUCAUCAUUAGUGCUAAUGUACCCACAAGAAUUGGGCAGACGCCUGGCAUGGAGCAAAGUGGGAAAAUGGGCAAAAUGGCACCGAAAGCCGAGGGAGAGAGAAAAAUUUCGGCUGCUGUCGCUGCUGCAGCGGAGCGAGAACGAGAGCGAGAGACACGAGAGCUUAAUACAAAUACAUGUAUAUUUGCAUGUGUAUGUGUAUGUGUCUGUGUGUGUAGUAAAUGGUGCAUGUAUUUUGUAUAUAGGGUAAAAAAAAAAAAUUCCACACGUUACAAGUGGCCCAUGUGUGUGUGUGUGUGUGUCUGUGCGGUGUGUGUGUGUGUGAGCUAGCUUCUGCGCAUGUGUCCGUGCAUCUGUUGGAAUGAGAAGGCGUCGCAGCCGCAGUCGCUGUCGUCGCCAUUGUUGCUUGGCCUUUUGAUAAACUUCGCAGCUUGCAGCGAUAGAGCUGGAGAUGAAGACGGCGACAGAGACGAAGACGAAGACGAGAACGGAUGGCAGGGCAGGGGAAAAGCGGUGGCUCAUCAUAAUGACGAUAAUGAUGUUCUUCUUGCUGCUGCUGUGGGAGCCAUAAUAUUUAUUUAUUUUCGAAUAAAAAUAAACAUAUACAAAAUGAAUAAAUGCAAAAAAGGGCAAACAAACUUUCAAGCAAGGCAAAAGU
Long non-coding RNA from Drosophila sulfurigaster albostrigata, 2249 nucleotides. RefSeq lists it as uncharacterized. NCBI's taxonomy places the organism in Eukaryota, Metazoa, Arthropoda, Insecta, Diptera, Drosophilidae. The transcript has 3 exons. The record is from RefSeq and is a predicted model, not a curated record.